UACGUAGGGUGCAAGCGUUAAUCGGAAUUACUGGGCGUAAAGCGUGCGCAGGCGGUGAUGUAAGACAGAUGUGAAAUCCCCGGGCUCAACCUGGGAACUGCAUUUGUGACUGCAUCGCUGGAGUGCGGCAGAGGGGGAUGGAAUUCCGCGUGUAGCAGUGAAAUGCGUAGAGAUGCGGAGGAACACCGAUGGCGAAGGCAGCCCCCUGGGCCAACACUGACGCUCAGGCACGAAAGCGUGGGGAGCAAACAGG
Molecule: ribosomal RNA, 253 nt
Filed under: uncultured bacterium
Lineage: Bacteria
Description: partial 16S ribosomal RNA
Rfam family: Bacterial small subunit ribosomal RNA
Source: RNAcentral